UUUCCGUAGGUGAACCUGCGGAAGGAUCAUUGUUGAGUAGGUGAACCUGCGGAAGGAUCAUUG
This 63-nucleotide ribosomal RNA is filed under the name Hornstedtia hainanensis. RNAcentral's name for it is "partial 18S ribosomal RNA". Lineage: Eukaryota; Viridiplantae; Streptophyta; Magnoliopsida; Zingiberales; Zingiberaceae. The record is from RNAcentral.